This is a long non-coding RNA of Engraulis encrasicolus (European anchovy), 2326 nucleotides long. RefSeq lists it as uncharacterized. The transcript is spliced from 2 exons. The record is from RefSeq and is a predicted model, not a curated record. Lineage: Eukaryota; Metazoa; Chordata; Actinopteri; Clupeiformes; Engraulidae.
GGAUGCCCUCAUGCCUGGAGAGGGUCCUGUGGAGUACACGGACCAGACAGAAGCUGACCAAACAGAAAACGACAAUACAGAGAAAGACGCCCUUGACAACAUUGAAGACUAUGAGGAGGACAACGAGCCGGAACAGGAGGACGACAAACAGGCAGCUCUGGCCCUGAACUGACACUAACGUUCCUCUACUGGGUCCACUUCCAUAUAGUGCCCUCCUGUCCUCUCCUUUUUGCUUGUGACCUUGUGCUUUGCUGACGCCCUGCCUCAGUAGGAGAAAACUAUUUAAAUUCCCCAGUUGUCAGCCAAGGCAGAGCAACCUUAGCGGGGCGUUCCCCCCCCAUUCAACAUCCCGAUUGUAAAUGAGAAAAUGAACUUUUAAUGGUCAACAGUGAACACUGAUAUGUAUUACGGGGAUGUAUGGUGGGAUACUGCAGAACUCCAUUCAACGUUUUUGAAGCAACUGCGACGUCUGGUCUGUGAGAACAUUUCUGCCUCAAUAUUGCCCCUUGUCCCGCCCCCAGCUGUUGCUUCAGUAAUGAAUAGAAUGUACGUGCUCCAUAUAUUGUAUGGGGAAUUUUUUCUACAGGCGCCCAGGUUGAUGCUGAAUUAUACACAGCAUCCAACAUCAAAGGUCUAAGCAAAUUGGUAAUGAAAAGAAUUAUUGGCAUGACAAUAGCUGAAUUUAUGACCUCGGAAACAACAGUACUGAUCAGAAAAUGAUCUUACUUGAAAUUACAAUGUUUGGAAUGGUUGAAUGUGAACUGGUAAAAUGGUGACUGGUAAAAAUUGUCAGUGACUGGUAGAUUUUCGAUUCUACCUGCCACAGUGACUGGUGGGAUUUUUUAAAGUUCCACCCCUGGUAUACAGCAGUGAUCGUCAAGGAUGUCUUGCCUCACAUCACAAGGCCACAAGCGAAAGGGAAGGAUGAGAGGCACCAGAUUGAGUUGGACCCUCAUGCUUAUCUGAGACAGACACGAUGAAGUCAACCAGGAGACAGCCAGCACACAUCUUCACCAGGAGGCUUCGUGCAGCCUUGAGAAUCGGCUCAUUUGGGUCUCCAUCCUGACAAACUGGAUUUGGAUUUAGGACCGGUUUUGCUGGUCAAUUCUUCACUGAAUAGUUGUGACUCCAUUUAGUUUUUUUAUUUUAUACUUUAGGCAGAGAUAGCUUUGCCUUUUUCCGUUCAAACCCAGUGCAUCAUGUGAAUUUUGGUGGCAAUAACGAACAUUUGAAUCGAGACGUUUUGGUUUGUAGUGAAAGGCUUAUCGCAUUAAGAGUUAUAGUGAGAGAGGUUACUAAAUCAAGAGUUUUUUUGUAGUGAGAAGUCACUAGAUCAAGAGUUUUUGUACAGAGAGAAGUUCUUAUUUGCAUCAUGAUCAAAUCAUCAUGGGGUGCCUAAGUCUCCUCCCCUUCCAGGACCAAAAAAUAUGACUGGGCUGUAAUGGACUCAUCAAACCUAUUUCCCGAUCCACCUCGCAUUCCUUCCUAGAUCACACACACGUUGUACCUCAGAAUUAAUGAUGACCAAUGGUGUGAUUGUCGUCUUCACUUAUCAAGCGAUUUGUGUGCGUGUAAAAAUAUGUAAUUAUUUGGACUACACAACAGAAGUUGUAUGUCUGACGUGCAGCCACUUCAGCCGCGGUGCAGCUGUGCACCUUCAGUCUCAGCUCACGUCAAAUACAGUGCAGUCUCUUGCCUAGUUUUGCAACAAAACUAAAAUAACCUUUCUUGCCUGCUGAAAAUGACUGGCCUUUCAGUACAAUGCCAAUCUAAACCUUUAAAAUUCACUGCUAACAUGUGAAAUCCACAGAGUACAUGCCAAACGGAGUCGGGAUAUAGGUUGACUCACUCCAUUCGCUCCCACUCAAAAUGUUGCGAGUUAAAAGCCCCAUGGACCGGAAGUACAAGUUAGAAGGGCAUGACUUAGUGACUUAGGUGCCCCAUUCCCCUCAGCUGAACCCCUUUAAGCUCUCUACCGUGGGCCUACAUUCAGGUAAUCCCCACUUUGGACUCCUAGUUCAACAGAAGACACUGUAAAAAAAUAAAAUAAUAAUAAUAAAAACAAUCUUUUUUAUAUUAAUAACCCAGAUUUUUUUAUUAGAAUAUUGAUACAAUUUGAUUGGUCAAUGAAGAUGAUGGCUUAUUGGCAGCUGGGGAUGUCUGACUGUAGGAUGUUUGCUUGUUUGUGUCAUGUGUAAAGUCCUUGUUUCGUUUGUUUGUUCGUUUUGUUUGUUGGUGUAUGUUCCUGUGCUGAUGUGAAAGAUGAUGAAAUUUGUUUUUUUUGGGGAGCGCUGAGGACAAUAAAAUGGCCUUCAGAGGACACAGA